CUGGCGGCGUGCCUAAUACAUGCAAGUCGAGCGAAUGAUUAGAGAAGCUUGCUCUCUCUGAUUAGCGGCGGACGGGUGAGUAACACGUGGGUAACCUACCCUAUAGACUGGGAUAACUUCGGGAAACCGGAGCUAAUACCGGAUAAUACUUCGAAACACAUGUUUUGAAGUUGAAAGAUGGUUUCGGCUAUCACUAUAGGAUGGACCCGCGGCGCAUUAGCUAGUUGGUGAGGUAACGGCUCACCAAGGCAACGAUGCGUAGCCGACCUGAGAGGGUGAUCGGCCACACUGGGACUGAGACACGGCCCAGACUCCUACGGGAGGCAGCAGUAGGGAAUCUUCCACAAUGGACGAAAGUCUGAUGGAGCAACGCCGCGUGAGUGAAGAAGGAUUUCGGUUCGUAAAACUCUGUUGCAAGGGAAGAACAAGUAGCGUAGUAACUGGCGCUACCUUGACGGUACCUUGUUAGAAAGCCACGGCUAACUACGUGCCAGCCGCAGC
RNAcentral lists this ribosomal RNA (501 nucleotides) under uncultured bacterium. Its description in RNAcentral is "bacterial SSU rRNA". It matches the Rfam family "Bacterial small subunit ribosomal RNA", at positions 36 to 518 of the family's 1533-position model. The record is from RNAcentral.